This 409-nucleotide ribosomal RNA is filed under the name uncultured bacterium. RNAcentral's name for it is "bacterial SSU rRNA". It matches the Rfam family "Bacterial small subunit ribosomal RNA", at positions 28 to 432 of the family's 1533-position model. The record is from RNAcentral.
GACGAACGCUGGCGGCGCGCCUAACACAUGCAAGUCGAACGAGAGAGAGGGAGCUUGCUUCCUCAAUCGAGUGGCGAACGGGUGAGUAACGCGUGAGGAACCUGCCUCAAAGAGGGGGACAACAGUUGGAAACGACUGCUAAUACCGCAUAAGCCCACAGGUCGGCAUCGACCAGAGGGAAAAGGAGCAAUCCGCUUUGAGAUGGCCUCGCGUCCGAUUAGCUAGUUGGUGAGGUAACGGCCCACCAAGGCGACGAUCGGUAGCCGGACUGAGAGGUUGAACGGCCACAUUGGGACUGAGACACGGCCCAGACUCCUACGGGAGGCAGCAGUGGGGAAUAUUGCACAAUGGGGGAAACCCUGAUGCAGCGACGCCGCGUGGAGGAAGAAGGUCUUCGGAUUGUAAACUC